Molecule: long non-coding RNA, 330 nt
Organism: Theobroma umbraticum
Lineage: Eukaryota; Viridiplantae; Streptophyta; Magnoliopsida; Malvales; Malvaceae
Source: RefSeq, a predicted model, not a curated record
CCAAGUCAAAAUUAUAUUUACUUUAUUGAAAAACAUACAGGGACAUGGUUCAAGUGAAAAACACAGAUAGCUUCAAGGGUAAGUUGUAUAAAUAAAGUACUUCAACUCUAGAGCUUCCACUCUACCUUCUCCAGCAUAGCAGUGUUUAUCAGCAGAUCAUCUGAUAAUGGAAGUGGAUAGUAGUGAGUCUCAGUCAAUGAGGAGUCAACAAGUGAGGAAGUUCACAUGGAGGAUUGAGAAUUUCUCCUGUAUUCAAUGCAACAAGCUCUACUCUGACGUUUUCCAUGUUGGUCGCAACAAAUGGCGACUUCUUUUCUUCCCCAAGGGGAA